Long non-coding RNA from Bos grunniens (domestic yak), 1912 nucleotides. The record is from Ensembl. Lineage: Eukaryota; Metazoa; Chordata; Mammalia; Artiodactyla; Bovidae.
AUGGGGUCCCUGUUCGUCUGUGGGCCCUCUUUGCGUUUCCUUCCUUGGCCUUCACCGUGGGUGGCCAGUUGUUUCUUUGUGCGUCAUCUUCUUCCUGAGAAAUGGUCGCUUUCCCCUAGUCUAGACACGGUAGUUCUGAGCUGUGGGCAAUUUUGUCCCCUGAAGGACAUCUGGCAGUGUUUGGUGAUGUUUUUGAUUGCUACAAUGGGACUGAGGUGAGAGAGAGUUGCUACUGUCAUACACUGGCUAGCUAGGCAUGUUUCUGAACAUGCUAAAAAUGCAUAGGACAACUUCUCAUAACCAAGAUUUACCCAGCCCAAUAUUUUUUUUUUUCAAGCUAGUAGCAUUAAGAAAAAUGAACUUUAUUUUUACUGCUUUUUUUACACUGUUAUUAUGCACUUUUCCCACCUGGCAAUGUGUUAUCUGUAAGUGCCACAACUGAUAAGGCUAGCAAAUUCAUGGGACCAUAGGACAUCCACCCAUACAUUGAUAUGUAAACUUGUUGGCCAGGUGGAGCCUCUAACUUGGUCAAGUAACAAGAGUUAAAAUGAGCAUUUAAGUGGAUAUAAAGACAAUGUAAAUAUAUACAGUUUAAGGAGGUGACAGUGCUACAAGGUGAAUGUUUGAAUGAUUAAAAAAUUAUAAACAAUAGUUGUGCCUACUUUUUUGUGAAUAGCACAGCUUUAAAAAUAGGGAAAGGAAACUCUUAAAUUAAAAAAAACUUGUUAUAAUUCCAUGAGAGGAAAAGUGGGUGAUGGAAGCUCAGAAAGGCUGCAGUGUCUCUUGUGCUCUGAGCUACGAAUCCUGUGCAACCUCUCAACUUUUCACACUGAUGGAAACUAAAUGAGAUACUUUAUCAUUUCUCCUUUUUGUAGACAAAUGAUUUGUUGUGUUUAUACAUGAUACCUGAGUCCAGAAGAUCCCCUGGAGUAGGAAAUGGCAACCCUCUCCAGUAUUCUUGCCUGGAAAAUUCCAUGGACAGAAGAGCCUGGCAGGCUACAUUCCAUGGGGUGAUAGAGUCAGAUGUGGCAGAGCACACACACACGUUCAUGAUACCUAAUCACAGGAUUUUUUUUUUUUAAUUGCUGAGAACAAUCUAUAUUCAUUUAGUUAGCCUUUUCAUUUUAAUUCAUUUAAUAGGUAGUUCUGAGCUGUGGGCAAUUUUGUCCCCUGAAGGACAUCUGGCAGUGUUUGGUGAUGUUUUUGAUUGCUACAAUGGGACUGAGGUGAGAGAGAGUUGCUACUGUCAUACACUGGCUAGCUAGGCAUGUUUCUGAACAUGCUAAAAAUGCAUAGGACAACUUCUCAUAACCAAGAUUUACCCAGCCCAAUAUUUUUUUUUUUCAAGCUAGUAGCAUUAAGAAAAAUGAACUUUAUUUUUACUGCUUUUUUUACACUGUUAUUAUGCACUUUUCCCACCUGGCAAUGUGUUAUCUGUAAGUGCCACAACUGAUAAGGCUAGCAAAUUCAUGGGACCAUAGGACAUCCACCCAUACAUUGAUAUGUAAACUUGUUGGCCAGGUGGAGCCUCUAACUUGGUCAAGUAACAAGAGUUAAAAUGAGCAUUUAAGUGGAUAUAAAGACAAUGUAAAUAUAUACAGUUUAAGGAGGUGACAGUGCUACAAGGUGAAUGUUUGAAUGAUUAAAAAAUUAUAAACAAUAGUUGUGCCUACUUUUUUGUGAAUAGCACAGCUUUAAAAAUAGGGAAAGGAAACUCUUAAAUUAAAAAAAAACUUGUUAUAAUUCCAUGAGAGGAAAAGUGGGUGAUGGAAGCUCAGAAAGGGGCAGCAGUAAAAAAGAUAUUUUGCUGCCUCAGGAUAUGAAUGGCAGUACCUUAUUUUCAACCAGUAAAGCAACAUGCAGGUAAAAUCAUUUUGGUUAGUGGAUAAAGGUGUGCUUUAAAUCGACACUA